GACGAACGCUGGCGGCGUGCUUAACACAUGCAAGUCGAACGGAAAGGCCCUGCUUUUGUGGGGUGCUCGAGUGGCGAACGGGUGAGUAACACGUGAGUAACCUGCCCUUGACUUUGGGAUAACUUCAGGAAACUGGGGCUAAUACCGGAUAGGAGCUCCUGCUGCAUGGUGGGGGAUGGAGAGUUUCGGCUGUUGGGGCUGGACUCGCGGCUUAUCAGCUUGUUGGUGGGGUAGUGGCUUACAAAGGCUUUGACGGGUAGCCGGCAUGAGAGGGUGACCGGCCUCAAUGGUACUGAGAGACGGCCCAGACUCCUACGGGACGCAGCAGUGGGGAAUAUUGCACAAUGGGCGGAAGCCUGAUGCAGCAACGCCGCGUGCGGGAUGACGGCCUUCUGGUUGUAAACCGCUGUCGCCUGUGACGAAGCGAGAGUGACGGUAAUGAGUAAAGAAGCACCGGCUAACUACGUG
RNAcentral lists this ribosomal RNA (468 nucleotides) under uncultured bacterium. Its description in RNAcentral is "partial 16S ribosomal RNA". It matches the Rfam family "Bacterial small subunit ribosomal RNA", at positions 28 to 507 of the family's 1533-position model. The record is from RNAcentral.